Molecule: ribosomal RNA, 113 nt
Filed under: Prolemur simus (greater bamboo lemur)
Lineage: Eukaryota; Metazoa; Chordata; Mammalia; Primates; Lemuridae
Source: RNAcentral
CUCUAUGGCCAUACCACCCUGAACACGCCUGAUCUUGUCUAUCUCGGAAGCUAAGCAGGGUCGGGCCUGGUUAGUACUUGGAUGGGAAAAAGUAGGGCAAAAUGCCCCACAGC